Molecule: transfer RNA, 84 nt
Filed under: Candidatus Cloacimonadota bacterium
Lineage: Bacteria; Pseudomonadati; Candidatus Cloacimonadota
Description: Candidatus Cloacimonetes bacterium (wastewater metagenome) tRNA-Leu
Rfam family: tRNA
About the family: Transfer RNA (tRNA) molecules are approximately 80 nucleotides in length. Their secondary structure includes four short double-helical elements and three loops (D, anti-codon, and T loops).
Source: RNAcentral
GCCGGGGUGGUGAAAUUGGUAGACACGCCAGACUCAAAAUCUGGUGAGGGCAACCUCGUGUCGGUUCAAGUCCGACCUCCGGUA